This 120-nucleotide ribosomal RNA is filed under the name Pteropus vampyrus (large flying fox). Lineage: Eukaryota; Metazoa; Chordata; Mammalia; Chiroptera; Pteropodidae. The record is from RNAcentral.
GUCUAUGGCCAUGCCGCCCUGAACUAGCCCAAAUCCCGUCUAAUCUCAGAAGCUAAGCAGAAUCGGGCCUGGUUAGUACUUGGAUAGGAGACCACCUAGGAAGACCAGGUGCUAUAGGCA